This is a non-coding RNA of Paramisgurnus dabryanus, 986 nucleotides long. NCBI's taxonomy places the organism in Eukaryota, Metazoa, Chordata, Actinopteri, Cypriniformes, Cobitidae. The record is from RefSeq and is a predicted model, not a curated record.
UACGAUGUAAACGAUCUCCGUCAAUGAACGCGAUUGGAUUUAACUUUUUUAGGUGUCCUUAGCUCUGCCAGAAUGCUAAACGAAGACGAAAAUGUGUUGCAAAGACAUCCAAAAGGUAAUUAUAACGUACUACAUUACUUUGCAAACUAUAUGGAAACACCAAAUGUAGCACAUAGAAGGUUUUAUUUGAAAUGAUUAUAAAACUAUUUCACUUAUUAACAUUAUUUUACUAUAGUAAACUUUAUUAUAAAAUACCGCUUACAUACUAUAUUACUGUGCAAACUAUAUGGAAACACCAAAUGUAGCACAUAGAAAGUAUUUGUUGAAAUGAUUAUAAAACUAUUUCACUUAUUAACAUUAUUUUACUAUAGUAAACUUUAUUAUAAAAGACUGUUACAUACUAUAUUACUGUGCAAACUAUAUGGAAACACCAAAUGUAGCACAAAGAAAGUAUUAAUUGAAAUGAAUGUUCUACAUUAUUUCACUAUGGUAAACUUUUUUAUGAAAGACUGCUUACUAAUAAGUGCUAUGUUUUUACUUAUUAGGUUUUAAGGAGAAUGCAACAUGUUCCAGGGCCUCUUACCUGCGUGAUUCAUCAUCCAGGUUUUGCACAAAUUGUCUAAAUCCCUACACAUAGAACAUUUAUUGUACCGACUAUAAGCCUUUGAGGUGCAGGACUACAAUACGCUUGGAGCUUCCUGAUCAGAUCGGUCACAAUUUUGGCUUUCGACGACCCCUGCACUGAAGAUGGCAUGCAAUCACGUCCUCCUUUGAAGGUCUCUCAAACUGUGAUGCCAGGUCCAUUGGAAUCGGGGUUUCCUUCAGCUUAUCUUCAAAUACCUCAUCAAACACAAGCCUGAUCACAUCAUCCACAUAACUGUAGAAAUAUUGCAGUCAAUAAAUCUUUUGUUUUGAUCAUUUAUUUCCCUGCUUCAUACAUUAAGUUUUUAAUUAUGAAUGUAUUUGAAAUAAAACAUUACUGCUUA